AUAAGAGUACACCCUAAUCCUAGCAAAAGGACUUAGUUCAUGAUUAAACUAAUGACAAACAUGGAUGAAUUUGAUGACAUAAAGAAACCCAAAACCCCAAUUCUGGAACCGUGUGCGAUAAACCCCAAAACUGCCACCUUCUGUCAAGAGUACCCCCACUGGAAGGCUGGAGUAUCGUAUUAUCUCCCCCCCCCUUGCGGCUGCUAAAAACCUUUUUCUUUCUAUGCCUUUCCUUUUGGUUGCCUAAUCCACAUGCCGUUUGGACUCUCAAACCCAAUUCUUUUUGGGAAAACACAUCACCGCAUGCUUGCACCGCCUAAUUUUAUUGGGCUUGCUUUAAUGAUCCAAUUUCCUAUAUGAUGUAUUGUUCCAUUCUUUGCUCCAGCCCAUCAGUCACAUCCCAUUCGAUAAUUCUUUGAGUUUCUCUAAUUUAAGCUUCUAAUUCCCUGCUUUAUUCACGAAUUAUGUUCUCUACAAAAAUUGCACAAAAACACAUCAAACUCACCAAUUUACUAUAAAAUCAUGACUAAGUUAUAGGUAAAAGAGUUAUCAAAUAUAUAUAAAAUAUCACCCUAACAAAUACCCCUAAACCUAUCUUUUGCUAGUCCUCGAGCAAAACAUAAAACAAAAAUAAGAAACUGACUAAAACAAGUCUAACUAAACCCACUUUCGCUGGCAAAACGAUUGCACUGAGCAUGUGCAACAAGCCUUUAAACCCCUAGGUGUCCCUAGUCGGAGGAGUUGUGUCUCCUGAGGGUUUACUAGUUAGUCUACCCACAAAUGCUUUACUAAAAAGCAAAGGUGUUACAGUUAUCACUUCCAUCAAUUAAUGAAAACCAAUGCAUGCCAAUCAUACUUCCAAAACUAAAGUUAUGCCCUUAUAAUGCAUCACAAUGGAAAGUAUGAAGCCAACAUCCCAAGCACUCGGGCUUAAAAACAUCCAUACUUGGCGUGUGUACAAAUUCGCCUCGACUCUAAGCCUCACUAGAUAUCACUCUAUUUUCUCAGAGAACCUAGGCUUUCUCUCUUAACAAGCAUAUGUGAUGAUUUUAUGCAAAAGGAAUCAAUAUAUAAUCACAUAUGAUCAACAUUGGAAAACAGCCAUUUCUGAAAAUAGAUCUCAUGAAAAGAAUCGAAUACUAAGAACAUUGGUAUCAACCUUCACCAAAAAAGCUAGACUUCCCCAUAAAUCCGUUAGGUCUUUGAAAUGGUUGUAACGUAAGGCUAGGUAUUUGGGCUAAAAAAAAAAUAAUAAGGAAAAACAAGAACUUGAGAGACACUACGACUUCUUUGUAUAUACGUAGGCUGGCAGCCCUUUGAAAUUUGAUGUGAUUGAUGGCGUCCAGGACUCAUGUUAUACUGAAUGGUACAAUUUCUCUUCUUUUUCUUUUUCUUUUUCUUGAUUUUUUUUUUUUUAUAACUACAAGAUAAAGGAGGAGGGGGAGGGCGUCAGGUAGUCGACAGCCGGCACUCCAUGAUCACGUCGAAUCCUUAUGAAAACUACAAGAAAUAAAAAUAAGCCACAUGGUACCUCGGUACACGCCACUACGUUGAUGUAGAAUUCAACCUUGAUUUCUUUUGGUAUCACCUUGGUAUCUCUCAAGCUAUAUGGUAUGGCUAAUAUAGGGUAGAGUGGAUAAGAUUUUAUGUGAGUGAUGAAAGAAAAGGCUAAGUGUUUGGCUUCAAUGGGGUUAAUGGAGCACACAAAAGGGUAGGGAAUAGGUCUUUUAGUGGUGGAAAACAUGCAUAGCCUAACUUCGUUUCUAUAGUUCCGUCUAACCCAAUGGCAAGAAUACCCAACAUAUAUUAAAGUUCUUUAGUACCCAAUGCAAAAUAAUGUUAAUGAGAUAAUAAAAAUUAAAGAAAGAAAUUGAAAAGUGUUUAGGAGUAGAAACAAAUUAACCCUCUCAAGAAAAGCUUAGGCUCAACAACUCACAUGGGUAGUCUCCACUAUUUCUCCACAUCAUCCAAACAUGGACAAUUUCUCCACCAAAGUACUUGAGACAUGGCAAAAUGAAUGGUAAAAAAAAAAAAAUAUGUGAUGCAAAAACCUUCUAGGCAACCCUUUAGCAAAGGAAAAAUUCUUAGCAAGACAUAUACAUCGCCAUUAAUAUGCUAAAGUGAAUACCUUAACAACUUAUGCUUCCAAGCUCUUAUUGUUUCCAACAAAUUCUAACACCCAAUCCCAAAAUUUUAAUUCCUACCUCAUCCUAUAAAUUUUAACAAAACAAUUCAUCACAUAAGGAUGUAUAAAUAUAAGCAUGAAAGAAAGUAAGAGAAUAGGAAGAGAAUACACCUAUUUUUGGCCAUCAUGGAAGAUGGAAUGGCUUUAAAAAUAAUGAAUUCCGAGCCAAAAUUGUUGCCUUCAUCAUAGGAUAAAAAUCUGCCAACAAUCAGCAAAACUGACUUUCAGUGACAAAAAUAAUUCCCAGAAACCGUCGCUAAAAGUAUGAACAAGCCUUUCGUGACAGAGAAAGUCUUUGAAGGUCGUCACUAAAGCUUUUUUAUGACAGAAAAUCUGCAGAAAUUAUGCAGCAAUUUACAUGUUUAUUUUCACUUUUUGAGCUUCUAAACCUCCCAAUUCACAAUGUAGGUCUAAUUUUUUGUCCCAAACCUAUUCCAACACAUCAUAUUAACCAUUCUAAACAUGUUAGCAUCACCAAAUUACUUGAAAAACAUCCAAAAUCAAUUUAGGUAGAUAAGUUGAUUAUGACCAAAAUAUGAACUCAAAGUGCAAUUUUGCAAUUUCUUUUGCACAUAACAACAAAACCACUCCAAACACAUUUGAAAUGACAAACUAAACAUGUUCAAAUCAUCAUGUGGGUGAAGAAAUCAAUAUUAUUAAACUUGGAACAUAAAAACCUUAGCUGUUGACCUUAAAAACAAAAAUUCAAAUGAAUCAACCAAACUAACAAAAAAACUAGGCUCUCCCCCCAAACCUAAACUAAACAUUGUCCUCAAUGCAAAAUCACAACAAAAAGAUGCACAAUGAGUAGUACGGAACAGAAAGGAAGAAAAUGCAAAACUAAUAAACAAGGAAAGGAACGAAUGAAACUGGUUGGGUUGCCUCCCAACAAGCGCUUAGUUUAAAGUCCUCAGCCCGACUUGGCAUUGCAAUCAAUCGGGAGAAGCAAGGGUCACAACAUUCGUGUUUCGCUCAAAACUGGCAGCAAGAUAUGGCUUCAAUCGCUGUCCAUUAACUUUGAAUGUAGCAUCUGUUGUAUGAUCACGAAUUUCAAUCGUUCCAUAUGGAAAAACUUGAACAACUGUAAAAGGACCAAACCAUCAUGUUCGCAACUUCCCAGGGAAAAGUUUCAGCCGAGAAUUAAACAAAAGAACUUGCUGGCCAAUAUAAAACUCACGACAAAGAAUAUGUUGAUCAUGCCACUUUUUGGUACGUUCCUUGUAGAUUUUAGCAUUUUCAUAUGCAUCAUGCAUCCGAAAUUCUUCCAUCUCGUUCAAUUGAAGAGCUCUCUUUUCUCCCGCUGCGUCCAUCUCAAAAUUAAGCUUCUUCACUGCCCAAAAUGCUUUAUGUUCCAGUUCCACAGGUAGAUGACAUGCUUUUCCAAACACCAAUCGAUAUGGAGACAUGCCAAUUGGAGUCUUGAAUGCAGUCCGAUACGCCCAUAGCGCAUCAUCCAACUUUGCAGCCCAAUCUUUGCGUGAAAGUCCCACGGUCUUCUCUAAAAUAUUCUUGAUCUCUCGAUUGGAAAUCUCAGCCUGCCCACUAGUUUGUGGAUGAUAAGGUGUAGCAACCUUAUGUGUGAUUCCAUAUUUUUGCCAAAAGAGCAGCAUUGAAGUGAUGAUUACAAAAGUGCUUGCCUCCAUCACUAAUAAUGGCGCGCGGGGUGCAAAAAGCGAGUGAAUAUGCUUCCGGAGAAAAUGAACAACAACCUUAGCAUCAUUAGUAGGUAAAGCAAUUGCUUCAACCCAUUUUGAAACAUAAUCCACAGCUACCAAGAUGUAUUGAUUUCCGUAAGAUGAUGGAAAUGGUCCCAUGAAAUCAAUACCCCAAACAUCAAAAAGUUCGACUUCUAGAAUAUUAUUCAGCGGCAUUUGAUGUCUACUUGAGAUAUUUCCAACACGUUGGCAGCGAUCACAUGUAGAAACAAAAGUAUGAGCAUCCUUAAACAAUGUAGGCCACCAAAAACUAGAUUGUAGUACCUUGGCAGCAGUCUUUGUGGCACCAAAAUGACCACCACAUGCUAGAGAAUGGCAAUGUCGCAAGAUUUCCUCCAUCUCGUCAUCAGGAACACACCGUCUUAUACAUUGAUCUGGACAAUGCUUCCACAAGUACGACUCAUCCCAAUAGUAAUGUCUGACUAACGAAAUGAAUCUUUUCUUCUGUUGCCACAUCAAAUCAGGAGGCAUGAUAUCACUACUAACUAAAAAUAAUUGACAUAAUCUGCAUACCAAGGAGUGACUGAAGAUUUAAUGGUAAAGAGCUGCUCGUCAGGGAAUGUUUCGGAGAUAGGAACUAAGUCAUUAUCACCUUCAUGAUGCAUAAUUCGAGAAAGAUGAUCCGCCACCAUAUUUUCAGACCCCUUUUUAUCCUGUAUCUCUAAAUCAAACUCUUGUAGUAACAACACCCAUCGAAUCAAUCGAGGCUUUGCAUCUUUCUUGGAUAAUAAAUACUUCAAAGCUGAGUGAUCGGUGUAGACAAUUACCUUUGAACCAAUGAGAUAAGAACAGAAUUUGUCUAAAGCAAAGACAACGGCUAGAAGCUCUUUCUCGGUAGUGGCAUAAUUCAAUUGUGCGUCAUUGAGAGUUCGACUAGCAUAAUAAAUCACAUGCAGUAGCUUAUCUCUCCGCUGACCCAAAACUGCUCCAAUAGCAUAGUCACUUGCAUCACACAUAAUCUCAAAAGGUAAUUCCCAAUCCGGUGCAACUAUCACAAGAGCUGUCGUGAGCUUCAUUUUCAACACAUUGAACGCCUCAAAACAUGAUGAAUCGAAUACAAACUCCGCUUCUUUCAGGAGCAAGUUACACAACGGUUUUGUAAUCUUAGAGAAAUCCUUAAUAAAACGUCGAUAAAAACCAGCAUAACCAAGGAAACUUCGAACUCCUUUGAUGGAAGUGGGUGGCGGUAACUUUGAAAUUGUCUCAAUUUUCACCUUGUCUACCUCAAUGCCGUUGACCGAAACUUUAUGACCCAAAACAAUCCCUUCUUGCACCAUAAAGUGACAUUUUUCCCAAUUUAGAACUAAAUUGGUUUCUUCACAUCUUUGCAACACCGAGGACAAAUUAUCCAGACAAGAAUCAAAUGAUGAGCCAAAAACUGAGAAGUCAUCCAUGAAUACCUCAAUACAACGCUCUACCAAGUCAAAAAAAAUACUCAUCAUGCACCUUUGAAAAGUAGCAGGCGCGUUACACAACCCAAAAGGCAUACGCCUAUACGCAAAAGUACCGAAAGGGCAUGUGAAUGUCGUCUUUUCUUGGUCUUCUGGUGCAAUCGGAAUCUGAUUAUAACCAGAGUACCCAUCUAAAAAACAAUAGUAAGCAUAUCCAGCAAGUCUAUCCAACAUCAAAUCAAUGAAUGGAAAAGGAAAAUGAUCUUUUCGAGUCUCAUUGUUCAAUUUCCUAUAGUCAGUGCAUACUCUCCAUCCUGUUGUAGUCCUCGUUGGAAUUAACUCAUUCUUGUCAUUCUUAACCACUGUAACUCCACCCUUUUUCGGUACCAAAUGCAAAGCACUCACCCAUUUACUGUCCGAAAUUGGAUAUAUUAUUCCAGCGUCUAAUAACUUCAAAAUCUCAGCUCGUACCACCUCUUUCAUAUUUGGAUUUAAUCUGCGUUGAUGCUCAACUGAAGGCUUGUAAUUGUCAUCCAACAAGAUCCGAUGCAUACAAAUGGACGGACUAAUUCCUUUGAUGUCAGCAAUACUCCACCCAAUUGCCAUUCUAUGCGUUCUUAACACUCUCAAUAGUUUUUCUUCUUCAACUUCACUCAAAUAUGCAGAAAUUAUAACAGGUAAAGUCUCAGCAGCUCCCAAGAAAGCAUACUUUAAAUGUGAUGGCAAUGGUUUCAAAUUUAAGGUAGGUGUGGCUAUGAUACUUGGCGGCGAUUUUGUAGGUACAGAUCCAAGGUCUUCGAACUCCAAUCGUCCACUCUUUGUAACUGAUUUAAAAGCAUCCAAAUAAAGAGCACAUUCCGCUAACAGUUGAUUUUCAUCUUCUGAAGUAGCAGUAUGAACUAGUGCAGCUUCCAUAGGAUCACUGGGCUUCUCAACUCUGAAUUUUUCAGAAAUCGCGGUCUCAACUAAAUCAAUGCGAAAACAAUCUUCCGCAUCUCUUGGAAAUUUUCCAGCCUCGAACACUUUGAAUGUUGCUUUCUCUUCCCCAAUUCUCAAUGUCAAAACCCUUGUCCACAUCAAUUAAAGUCCUAGCUGUGAUCAAUUAAAGUCCUAGCUGUGAUAAGAAAUGGCCAACCCAAAAUCAACUGAGUCUCAUAAUCUUCUUCCAUAUCCAACACCAAGAAAUCUGCUGGAAAAAUCAGCUUGUCAACCUUCACUAACACAUCUUCGAUAAUUCCCUCUGGAUAUGCAAUUGAUCUAUCCGCCAUCUGCAAAGAAACAGUAGUGGGUUUAAUUUCACCUAUUCCAAUGUUCUUAGCAACCGAUAAAGGUAAUAAAUUAAUACUAGACCCCAAAUCACAUAAUGCUUUUUCAAAUAAAUUAGUGCCAAUAACGCAUGGAAUUUUGAAACUCCCUCUAUCUUUUUGCUUGAGCGGAAGCUUUCUUUUAAGGAUUGCACUGCAUUCUUCUGUCAAUUGAAUCUUCUCAUGAUCGCCAAAUUUCCUUUUCUUUGAGAUGAUAUCCUUCAUGAAUUUAGCAUAAUUUGGCAUCUGCUCCAAAGCAUCAGCAAAUGGAAUAUUAAUCUCCAAUUUCUUAAACAUCUCUAAGAAUUUGAAAUACUUCUCAUCUAACAUAUUCUUCUUGAGCCGUUGAGGAAAACGAAUAGGAGGCACAUAUGGCUUCACGGGUUGGACAACAGGCUUAGGGAGUGGCGUGGCUGCAAUGACUGAUUGUGGUGAAGCUUUUGAGGUGGUUCCCAGUAUAGCUAGUGGCUGUACAACAUCGGACAGUGGCUGCUCCUCUUGUGAAAUGGUUUCUACCUUUUCUUCCUCAUUGUUUUUCUCAAAAUCAGCUGCUGUUUUCACUUGUUUCCCUCUUCGAAGAGUUAUUGCUUUAGCUUGCUCAUGGUUUCUCGGAUUAACUUCAGUUUGGCUUGGAAAAGAACCUUUUUCUCUAACUGCCAAAGAAUGAGCUAACUGCCCCAUUUGAAUCUCCAAAUUUUUUAUUGAGGCAGCCUGGUUCUGAAGAGUUGUCUCAGUUUUGCUCAUAAAUUGAUUUGUAUUGACAGAAAGAGUAUUCACGUUACCAGCAAGCUGUGCAAUGACAUCUUCCAAAUUAUUCUUCUUCUCUUGAGGUUGGAAACCAGAUGGUGGCUUUUGUACAUUCUGAUUAUUAACCCAUGAGAGAUUUGGAUAGUUUCUCCAUCCUUGAUUAUAAGUAUUGGAGUAUGGAUCAUUACCAGGACGUCUGUAAGCACUCACCAUGUUCGCUUGCUCUUGAACAAAUUCUGGAAAAUCAACACUAUACGGACAACCAACUGUGGCAUGACCAGGAACUGCACAUAUGGAACAAACCUCUUGAACUGAUGCUCUCCCAUUCAUAGAAAGCAAAGUGUCAAGUUUACUAGCAAUCGCAUCGACUUGUGCCUUUGAAGCAAAUUCGGUAGAAUUAUUAAUCUCAAAAACUCCUGCUCGUCUUCCUCUUGCUUCAGAAUGUUGUGUUUCGAGUGCUAGAGUAUCAAAAAGUGCUUGACAUUCGGCUGGCGUCUUGUUCUUAAUUGAUCCCCCUGCAUAGUUGUUCACUGCAGCUUUGCUUGAAACUGUUAAUCCUUUAUAAAAUAUCCGCAUGAGAACUAGAGUAGGCAAACCAUGGUGCGGACACUGAAUCAACAAAUUAUUAAAUCUCUCCCAUGCCUCAGAAAACGUCUCAUCUGCCUGUUGAGUGAAUUGCAUGAUAUUAUCUCUAAGGGUAUCGGUCUUCUGGGUCGAGAAGAAUUUCUCCAAAAAUUUAUUCUGAAUAUCGUUCCAACUCGUCAAGGUUCUAGGCCUCAAAGAAUUCAACCAAGUCUUCGCUUGGUCUUUCAUAGUGUAUGGAAAGACCUUCAUCCUGAGAUGUUCCUCGGUGACUCCUUCUACCAAUGCCAUGUUGGACACCAUAUUGAAGAUAUCUCUAAUAUGUGCCAAUGGAUCUUCAAUGCUCAUGCCAUGAAAAGAAGGCAUCAUAUUAAAGUGGAUAGUCUUCAAUUCAUAAUUCCUUGCAGCUGCAGGAAGAGCUAUGCUCGACGGUGAUUCCAGAAUGGUUGGAAUAUCAAGAUCUCCCAUCGUUUCAUUCUGAACUAACGCCAUCUUGCUCUCGUGCUGCUGUUCUUUCUCACCGACUUCUCUUUGGUCUCUUCGGAUUUCACGGAGUCUUUUCUCAAUUUCUGGUUCAAACUCAAGUAAUACACAAUCCGACGAACGAGUACCAAGCAUUCACCUUUAAGAAACAAUGAAAAAGAAAGAAAAAAAAAAUGAGAAUGCACCAAGAAAAAUUGAUCAAAAUUUAAAAAAAACGAAAAUAAAAAUUAAAUAAACUGAAAAUCACAAAAGUAAACUUAAAUUAAAUUCGAUCCAAGGCAGCGGCGCCAAAAACUUGUUGUUGAUAAUUGCAAGUGUACAAUAUCGUCCAAGUAAUAUAGUGAUAAGUAGAGUGUCGUUCAAACAUGGAUCGGAUUAACCUAAAUUUACUAUUGAGAUUGACUUCAAACUAAACUUAAAUAAAAGAUGGAUUACGAUGACAAAUUCAAAUAUGCAAAGAACCCAAACGAAAGUGAAAAUAUCAAUUGAACAAACACGAAGUAAAAGUGAAUGAAUUAUGAAAAAUUAAUAUAUUGAAGCACUAGGACAUCAGGUUCCUCGUUCUCAAUCCCAUCUAAUCCCGUUAUUCAUAUUAAACUCAAAUUAUUCCCAUGUUGCUAGCAAUUAUCCCUUGAUUCGUCAAUAUUUUCUUUCAGAAUAUACUAACUGUGUUUCUAACUAUCUACCCAUGCUAUGUCUAGCCACAAAAGUAGAUAAUCAAAACCCUUUAUGCUAAAUGGAUAAUUUCACAAUACUACACAAGUCAUAACCAGUAUGUCUACUCAAUUAUGUAAUUCAUGAUAAUUGUUAUGAGAAGCAAUCUACUAAACUCAACCUGUCAGUCCCAAUUUAGUUCUUCACACAAAUAAUGGCCAGUUAUUUGAUAACGAUAAAGCACAAUAACAAUUACACAACAUGGAAAACAACCGAGUUCAAUAUGAAAUAAUAAGAAUUAGAUGUUCAUGAUAAGAGUACACCCUAAUCCUAGCAAAAAGACUUAGUUCAUGAUUAAACUAAUGACAAACAUGGAUGAAUUUGAUGACAUAAAGAAACCCAAAACCCCAAUUCUGGAACCGUGUGCGAUAAACCCCAAAACUGCCACCUUCUGUCAAGAGUACCCCCACUGGAAGGCUGGAGUAUCGUAUUAUCUCCCCCCCUUGCGGCUGCUAAAAACCUUUUUCUUCUAUGCCUUUCCUUUUGGUUGCCUAAUCCACAUGCCGUUUGGACUCUCAAACCCAAUUCUUUUUGGGAAAACACAUCACCGCAUGCUUGCACCGCCUAAUUUUAUUGGGCUUGCUUUAAUGAUCCAAUUUCCUAUAUGAUGUAUUGUUCCAUUCUUUGCUCCAGCCCAUCAGUCACAUCCCAUUCGAUAAUUCUUUGAGUUUCUCUAAUUUAAGCUUCCAAUUCCCUGCUUUAUUCACG
This 9829-nucleotide long non-coding RNA is filed under the name Malus domestica (apple). RNAcentral describes it as "long non-coding RNA (MDOM_LNC001740)". The stretch from base 7935 to 8041 matches the Rfam family "Plant small nucleolar RNA R71". The record is from RNAcentral. Lineage: Eukaryota; Viridiplantae; Streptophyta; Magnoliopsida; Rosales; Rosaceae.